AGAGUUUGAUCCUGGCUCAGAACGAACGCUGGCGGCAGGCCUAACACAUGCAAGUCGAACGUGAAGCCACCUUCGGGUGGUGGAAAGUGGCAGACGGGUGAGUAACGCGUGGGAACGUGCCCUUCGGUUCGGGAUAACCCAGGGAAACUUGGGCUAAUACCGGAUACGCCCUUCGGGGGAAAAAUUUAUUGCCGAAGGAUCGGCCCGCGUCGGAUUAGCUUGUUGGUGGGGUAAAAGCCUACCAAGGCGACGAUCCGUAGCUGGUCUGAGAGGAUGAUCAGCCACACUGGGACUGAGACACGGCCCAGACUCCUACGGGAGGCGGCAGUGGGGAAUAUUGGACAAUGGGCGCAAGCCUGAUCCAGCCAUGCCGCGUGGGUGAAGAAGGCCUUAGGGUUGUAAAUCCCUUUCAGCGGGGAAGAUAAUGACGGUACCCGCAGAAGAAGCCCCGGCUAACUCCGUGCCAGCAGCCGCGGUAAUACGGAGGGGGCUAGCGUCGUUCGGAAUUACUGGGCGUAAAGCGCGCGUAAGCGGACCUGCAAUUCGGGGGUGAAAGCCCGAGGCUCAACCUCCGAACUGCCUUCGAUACUGCGGGUCUUGAGUCCGGGGAGAGUGGAGUGGAUUUCCCAGUGGUAAAGGGGAAAUUCCCUGAUAUUUGGGAAGAACACCCUUGGCGAAAGGGGGUCUCUUGGCCCGGUA
RNAcentral lists this ribosomal RNA (699 nucleotides) under uncultured bacterium. Its description in RNAcentral is "bacterial SSU rRNA". It matches the Rfam family "Bacterial small subunit ribosomal RNA", at positions 8 to 739 of the family's 1533-position model. The record is from RNAcentral.